This 514-nucleotide ribosomal RNA is filed under the name Abraliopsis atlantica. Its description in RNAcentral is "partial small subunit ribosomal RNA". It matches the Rfam family "Bacterial large subunit ribosomal RNA", at positions 1816 to 2600 of the family's 2925-position model. Lineage: Eukaryota; Metazoa; Mollusca; Cephalopoda; Oegopsida; Enoploteuthidae. The record is from RNAcentral.
GUCUCUUUGUUAAUUGUAAAUGGAGAGUCGGGCCUGCUCGGUGAACAUUAUUAGUUUUAACAGCUGCGGUAUUUUAACUGUACUAAGGUAGCAUAAUAAUUUGCCUUAUAAUUUGAGGCUAGAAUGAAUGGUUUGACGAAGGUUAAACUGUCUCUAUUUUAUUUUUUAGAAUUUAAUUUACAGAGUGAAAAAGCUUGUAUUUCUUAAAGGGACGAGAAGACCCUACUGAGCUUUAAUUUCGUUGAUUGUACAUAAAAUUUGUGUAUGGUCAAAUAAAUUUUAAUUGGGGUGAUUAAGGAGUAAUAAAAUAAAGUGGUAACCUCCUUAAAUUCCAUACUGAUAAGUAAAAUAACCAACCUUGUUGCUUAUACUAGAGUUACCAUAGGGAUAACAGCGUAAUCUAUUUUGAGAGCUCGUAUUGAAAAAUAGGAUUGCGACCUCGAUGUUGGAUUAAAGUGUCCUUAAGGUGUAGCAGCUUUAGAAGGUAAAUCUGUUCGAUUUUUAAAACUUUACA